This 232-nucleotide unclassified non-coding RNA is filed under the name Hevea brasiliensis (rubber tree). The record is from RNAcentral. Lineage: Eukaryota; Viridiplantae; Streptophyta; Magnoliopsida; Malpighiales; Euphorbiaceae.
AUUGUUCAGUUCCGGCGAUUGUCUAAAUUCAUGGAAAGGGCAGAUCGAAGCCUACGAUUGGAAUCAGAAUAUUUGGAGUGAGGUCGACGGAUCUCGAUUCGAGGCUUUGUCGGCAACGAAAUUCGUCACGAUGGCACCGGCCGGAGCUGACUUGUACUUUCUUGCUGGUCGUAGGAUGCCAGAUCAGCCGUCUAAGAUGACUUCGAUUGUCCACGUAUUUGACACGUCGGCC